This 253-nucleotide ribosomal RNA is filed under the name uncultured bacterium. RNAcentral describes it as "partial 16S ribosomal RNA". It matches the Rfam family "Bacterial small subunit ribosomal RNA", at positions 524 to 776 of the family's 1533-position model. The record is from RNAcentral.
UACAGAGGUCUCAACCGUUGUUCGGAUUCAUUGGGCGUAAAGGGUGCGUAGGCGGUCGGGUAAGUCGGAUGUGAAAUCCCAGGGCUCAACCCUGGAACUGCAUUCGAUACUGCCUGGCUAGGGUACUGGAGAGGAGAUUGGAAUUUACGGUGUAGCAGUGAAAUGCGUAGAUAUCGUAAGGAAGACCAGUGGCGAAGGCGAGUCUCUGGACAGUUACCGACGCUGAGGCACGAAGGUCAGGGGAGCAAACGGG